GCCUUGAUGGUGAAAUGGUAGACACGCGAGACUCAAAAUCUCGUGCUUAAUCGCGUGGAGGUUCGAGUCCUCUUCAAGGCA
RNAcentral lists this transfer RNA (81 nucleotides) under Larix sibirica. RNAcentral's name for it is "tRNA-Leu". It matches the Rfam family "tRNA". Rfam says of the family: Transfer RNA (tRNA) molecules are approximately 80 nucleotides in length. Their secondary structure includes four short double-helical elements and three loops (D, anti-codon, and T loops). Lineage: Eukaryota; Viridiplantae; Streptophyta; Pinopsida; Pinales; Pinaceae. The record is from RNAcentral.